AUUGAACGCUGGCGGCAGGCCUAACACAUGCAAGUCGAGCGGAUGAGAAGAGCUUGCUCUUCGAUUCAGCGGCGGACGGGUGAGUAAUGCCUAGGAAUCUGCCUGGUAGUGGGGGACAACGUUUCGAAAGGAACGCUAAUACCGCAUACGUCCUACGGGAGAAAGCAGGGGACCUUCGGGCCUUGCGCUAUCAGAUGAGCCUAGGUCGGAUUAGCUAGUUGGUGAGGUAAUGGCUCACCAAGGCGACGAUCCGUAACUGGUCUGAGAGGAUGAUCAGUAAAACUGGAACUGAGACACGGUCCAGACUCCUACGGGAGGCAGCAGUGGGGAAUAUUGGACAAUGGGCGAAAGCCUGAUCCAGCCAUGCCGCGUGUGUGAAGAAGGUCUUCGGAUUGUAAAGCACUUUAAGUUGGGAGGAAGGGCAGUAAGUUAAUACCUUGCUGUUUUGACGUUACCGACAGAAUAAGCACCGGCUAACUCUGUGCCAGCAGCCGCAGUAA
RNAcentral lists this ribosomal RNA (500 nucleotides) under uncultured bacterium. Its description in RNAcentral is "partial 16S ribosomal RNA". It matches the Rfam family "Bacterial small subunit ribosomal RNA", at positions 30 to 523 of the family's 1533-position model. The record is from RNAcentral.